Molecule: ribosomal RNA, 497 nt
Filed under: uncultured bacterium
Lineage: Bacteria
Description: partial 16S ribosomal RNA
Rfam family: Bacterial small subunit ribosomal RNA
Source: RNAcentral
GAUGAACGCUGGCGGCGUGCCUAAUACAUGCAAGUCGAGCGAACAGACGAGGAGCUUGCUCCUCUGACGUUAGCGGCGGACGGGUGAGUAACACGUGGAUAACCUACCUAAAAGACUGGGAUAACUUCGGGAAACCGGGGCUAAUACCGGAUAAUAUAUUGAACCGCAUGGUUCAAUAGUGAAAGACGGUUUUGCUGUCACUUAUAGAUGGAUCCGCGCCGCAUUAGCUAGUUGGUAAGGUAACGGCUUACCAAGGCAACGAUGCGUAGCCGACCUGAGAGGGUGAUCGGCCACACUGGAACUGAGACACGGUCCAGACUCCUACGGGAGGCAGCAGUAGGGAAUCUUCCGCAAUGGGCGAAAGCCUGACGGAGCAACGCCGCGUGAGUGAUGAAGGUCUUCGGAUCGUAAAACUCUGUUAUUAGGGAAGAACAAAUGUGUAAGUAACUAUGCACGUCUUGACGGUACCUAAUCAGAAAGCCACGGCUAACUACGUG